Molecule: long non-coding RNA, 1361 nt
Organism: Canis lupus familiaris (dog)
Lineage: Eukaryota; Metazoa; Chordata; Mammalia; Carnivora; Canidae
Exons: 9
Source: RefSeq, a predicted model, not a curated record
AAUGCAUACACUAUACCUUAGGAACAUGGCAGCAAAGGACUAAGAAAGGUUGAAUAACCCCAGACAACCUAUAACUGAAAAAGCCACCUUUCUUUUAUGUGUUGAGGAAAUGAAACCGGUCAUGACACAGAAGAGGAAAAAAAGAAGUGCUUGAAUGAACUUACACUUGCGAAGUACUUCGCGUUGUUCUUGUCCUUUAUAUAUACUCAGAAAAACACAAUAAAGGCUCUAGGUAGCUCCUUCUGUGUGCUUCCUGACCAACCCUGGAACUUCCCAAUGUGGCCCUGGAUGCAUGGCAUGCCCUUUCCUCUUAGGAAGUGAUAAAUUCUUCUUCUAAAGGUAUUUGGAGGACAACAUGAUCCAGAGGCUCCAUCUAAACUUCAAGAGUUUUUCUGGUGGCUCAGUCUUCCCCUCAUUACCACUCACUGGCCUGGGCUCCAGAUGGGAGAGGAAGCCGCCUCGCCUGGCAAGUGGGAAGUGUUUGCUGUCUGUGUCCUCUAGCGCCCUGACACUGGAAUGAUGACCCAUGCAGACUCUGUUGGAUUCUUUUAAUCCUUACAAAUGCUGGCAGAGAGAUGAGGGCCAAGGACAAAGAAUGAUAAAUCUGGGUGGAUGGAAAGGAAAGAGUAUUUAUUUACUUGAGUCAGAGACAGACACAGAGAGAGUGACCCGAGGGAGAGGGCAAACCUGCCUCAGGGCUCGAUCCCAGGACCCGGACAUCAUGACCUGAGCCGAAAUCAGAUGCUUUAACAGACUAAGUCACCCAGCUAAUAGAUCCACAUUGCAAACUGCCCUUUGUACUCCAAACGUGUAUUUUCACAAGAACUGAUGAGACAAUCUUUCAAGCUCAUGCAUGAUGGCACUGUCUGGCAGCAACAUGAAGAUUCACCUGUUCUGAAAAUUUCAUAUAAGUGGAAUCAUGAAUUACGUGGGCCUUUUCGUGUCUGACUUUUUUCACUGGGCAUAAUGUUUACAAGUGAUCUACAAAUUGAAGUACAUUGGGGCUACACGAAGACUUUUCAAGAGAUAUGUGGGCACAGAUAGUUUUAAAGCAAUCAAAUUCCAGAUCCUCAACGUCCAUCUUUUCUACUACUGAUCUUUCUGCAAAUGUACCUGUAGCUAAGGCUCCACAUUGAGUGUGGAGCCGAGCACAGGGCUUGACCCUGAGAUUAAGACCUGAGCUGAGAUCAAGAGUUGGACACCUAACCAACCAAGCCACCCAGCAUUAUUUACAAGAGCCAAGUUAUGGAACAAACCCCAAUGUCCGUCAAUGGAUGAGUGGAUAAAGAAGUGAUGUAUCUCUCUCUCUCUCUCUCUCUCUCUCUCUCACACACACACACACACACACAUUAUUCAGCCAU